CCGCGCUAGACGGGGAGCUAGCGGUGCCCUGAACUCGCAAUCCGCUAUAGCGAGGUUUAAUCCCUCCCGGAGGCCCCAUCAUUGGGCCAAUGUUUUGAGAUUAAGAUAUAGAAGGUUGGGUCCCACGCGGCGUAGGCUUGUCAACCCCGCCAGGUCCGGAAGGAAGCAACGGUCAACGAGAUACUACGGGUGCCGUGGGAGCACCUGGCUGGAGUCAUGAUUUCUGACACGCCCAGUUGCUGGCGUCGAAGGUAGGUGCGCGG
This 263-nucleotide signal recognition particle RNA is filed under the name Dehalococcoidia bacterium. RNAcentral's name for it is "signal recognition particle sRNA large type". It matches the Rfam family "Bacterial large signal recognition particle RNA". From Rfam's summary of the family: The signal recognition particle (SRP) is a universally conserved ribonucleoprotein involved in the co-translational targeting of proteins to membranes. The record is from RNAcentral. Lineage: Bacteria; Bacillati; Chloroflexota; Dehalococcoidia.